RNAcentral lists this ribosomal RNA (465 nucleotides) under Vreelandella stevensii. RNAcentral's name for it is "partial 16S ribosomal RNA". It matches the Rfam family "Bacterial small subunit ribosomal RNA", at positions 338 to 795 of the family's 1533-position model. Lineage: Bacteria; Pseudomonadati; Pseudomonadota; Gammaproteobacteria; Oceanospirillales; Halomonadaceae. The record is from RNAcentral.
CCUACGGGUGGCAGCAGUGGGGAAUAUUGGACAAUGGGCGAAAGCCUGAUCCAGCCAUGCCGCGUGUGUGAAGAAGGCCUUCGGGUUGUAAAGCACUUUCAGUGGGGAAGAAAGCCUUGGGGCUAAUACCCUCGAGGAAGGACAUCACCCACAGAAGAAGCACCGGCUAACUCCGUGCCAGCAGCCGCGGUAAUACGGAGGGUGCGAGCGUUAAUCGGAAUUACUGGGCGUAAAGCGCGCGUAGGCGGUCUGAUAAGCCGGUUGUGAAAGCCCCGGGCUCAACCUGGGAACGGCAUCCGGAACUGGCAGGCUAGAGUGCAGGAGAGGAAGGUAGAAUUCCCGGUGUAGCGGUGAAAUGCGUAGAGAUCGGGAGGAAUACCAGUGGCGAAGGCGGCCUUCUGGACUGACACUGACGCUGAGGUGCGAAAGCGUGGGUAGCAAACAGGAUUAGAUACCCGAGUAGUC